This 501-nucleotide ribosomal RNA is filed under the name uncultured Glomeromycotina. Its description in RNAcentral is "SSU rRNA". It matches the Rfam family "Eukaryotic small subunit ribosomal RNA", at positions 591 to 1097 of the family's 1831-position model. Lineage: Eukaryota; Fungi; Glomeromycota. The record is from RNAcentral.
CCAAUAGCGUAUAUUAAAGUUGUUGCAGUUAAAAAGCUCGUAGUUGAAUUUCGGGAUCAGAGUGUCGGUCGUGCCUCGGUACGCACUGGUAUUAUUGGUUCCUACCUUCUGAAGAACCGCGAUGUCAUUAAUUUGGUGUCGUGGGGAAUCAGGACUGUUACUUUGAAAAAAUUAGAGUGUUUAAAGCAGGCUUACGCUUGAAUACAUUAGCAUGGAAUAAUGAAAUAGGACGUUUGAUUCUAUUUUGUUGGUUUCUAGGAUUGACGUAAUGAUUAAUAGGGAUAGUUGGGGGCAUUAGUAUUCAAUUGUCAGAGGUGAAAUUCUUGGAUUUAUUGAAGACUAACUACUGCGAAAGCAUUUGCCAAGGAUGUUUUCAUUAAUCAAGAACGAAAGUUAGGGGAUCGAAGACGAUCAGAUACCGUCGUAGUCUUAACCAUAAACUAUGCCGACUAGGGAUCGGAUGAUUUAAUUUUAAUGACUCAUUCGGCGCCUUACGGGAAA